Molecule: ribosomal RNA, 253 nt
Filed under: uncultured bacterium
Lineage: Bacteria
Description: partial 16S ribosomal RNA
Rfam family: Bacterial small subunit ribosomal RNA
Source: RNAcentral
UACGGGGGGGGCAAGCGUUGUUCGGAAUUACUGGGCGUAAAGGGCUCGUAGGCGGCCAACUAAGUCAGACGUGAAAUCCCUCGGCUUAACCGGGGAACUGCGUCUGAUACUGGAUGGCUUGAGUUUGGGAGAGGGAUGCGGAAUUCACGGUGUAGCAGUGAAAUGCGUAGAUAUCGUAAGGAAGACCAGUUGCGAAGGCGGAUCUCUGGGCAGUUCCUGACACUGAGGCACGAAGGCCAGGGGAGCAAACGGG